AUAGGAACUUUGGGGAAACACAUUCAAACCAUGGAGCAACCCUGAUGCUUUGUCUCCAACAGGCAGAAGACAUGAGACAAGGAACUCAGGCUGGAAGGCAGGAGUGGCCUCAAUCUCACACUCCUAGGGAGCUACUUGGGCAUCUGUGCUUCCUGUCUCCACACCCCUGGGCUCUGUAGGUUUAGAGGUUCUGGAUCUAAAAAGGGGAACUCUUCUGUUGGGUAAAAUGUCGAGAUGACUAUGGAACUUUUACCUGUGACUCCAACCAGGCACUUUGAACUCCUUGUAUCAGGGAUCAGUAGGCAAGACAGCAGUCGCCAUUCUUUCUGGUCAUCAGGCUGCCGAGUCUACUUUCCAGGAAACAGGACCUGGUAGCAACUGUAAGGCAGGGGCCAGCAAAUUUUCCAAAUGGGACAGAUAGUAAAUAUUUUAGGCUUUGUGGACCAUAGGGUCCCUGUUGUAACUCCUCUACUGUAUAGUGCAG
This 484-nucleotide long non-coding RNA is filed under the name Fukomys damarensis (Damara mole-rat). Its description in RNAcentral is "lncRNA (ENSFDAG00000032492.1)". Lineage: Eukaryota; Metazoa; Chordata; Mammalia; Rodentia; Bathyergidae. The record is from RNAcentral.